Heterocephalus glaber (naked mole-rat) is the source of this 529-nucleotide long non-coding RNA. RefSeq lists it as uncharacterized. The record is from RefSeq and is a predicted model, not a curated record. NCBI's taxonomy places the organism in Eukaryota, Metazoa, Chordata, Mammalia, Rodentia, Bathyergidae.
GGGAAAGGAGGAAGUGGAGACAUCCACGGGAGGACCAGUUCCUGUUGGAUCAGAAGGGAGCUGAGAGAUUUUCUUAUCAAGUUCAAGUGACAAUUCCUUUGGAAGAAUCUCUGUCCUCAGUUGUGUGGCUGUGGUUGGACAAUAUGUAAGACUGCCAGCUUCACCUCUGAUUUAUGAAGCAAUUCAAAGUUGCUGUCUGCAGAGACAUCCUGGAUCUGCAUGCUUAAAACAGAAGUCCUGGAAGCAUGCACAGUCUAACUACAAGAAAAAAUAUCAGAUGAACUUCAGAGCUUCCUACCAAACACUGACCAGGACUUCUCAAAACAAGACUACUGAAAACCAGGAACCCCUGAGAAGCUGUAGCAGCCAAGAGGGACCUAAGGAAGCAUGAUGAUUAAAUCUGAUGUGGGAUCCCGGGUGGGACCUUGAGGCAAAAAAUAGUACAUUUUGGCAAAAGCUAAGAAAAUAGGAAUAAAGUACAGAUUUCAAUUAAUAAAAAUGCAUCAAUGCAGAUUGCUUUUUUCGACAA